GGGGUACACGAGCGGGCGAACGGUGAGUACACGUGAGUAUCUGCCCUUCACUUCGGGAUAAGCCUCGGAAACGGGGUCUAAUACCGGAUACGACACUCCUUCGCAUGAGGUGGGUGUGGAAGUUUUCGGUGGGGAUGUGCUCGCGGCCUAUCAGCUUGUUGGUGGGGUAAUGGCCUACCAAGGCUUCGACGGGUAGCCGGCCUGAGAGGGUGACCGGCCACACUGGGACUGAGACACGGCCCACACUCCUACGGGAGGCAGCAGUGGGAAUAUUGGACAAUGGGCGGAAGCUGAUCCAGCAACGCCGCGUGAGGGAUGACGGCCUUCGGGUUGUAAACCUCUUUCAGUACCGACGAAGCGAAAGUGACGGUAGGUACAGAAGAAGCACCGGCCAACUACGUGCCAGCAGCCGCGGUAAUACGUAGGGUGCGAGCGUUGUCCGGAAUUAUUGGGCGUAAAGGGCUCGUAGGCGGUUUGUCACGUGGGAGUGAAAACACUGGGCUUAACUCAGUGCUUGCUUUCGAUACGGGACUAGAGUAGAGGCAUGCAGGGAGAACGAAUUCCUGGUGUAGCGGUGAAAUGCGCAGAUAUCAGAGAACACCGGUGGCGAAGCGUUCUCUGGCAUGUCCUGACGCUGAGGAGCGAAAGUGUGGGAGCGAACAGA
RNAcentral lists this ribosomal RNA (664 nucleotides) under uncultured Actinomycetes bacterium. RNAcentral's name for it is "bacterial SSU rRNA". It matches the Rfam family "Bacterial small subunit ribosomal RNA", at positions 83 to 776 of the family's 1533-position model. Lineage: Bacteria; Bacillati; Actinomycetota; Actinomycetes. The record is from RNAcentral.